GGGUAGAGGAAGGUGGGUCCCUGGCUAGGGCUCCACCCCCAUGAAUCUAGGGGUGCUCAAUGUCAUCACAAGGGUCCUUAAGAGGGAAAGAGGAAGCCAUGAGGGUCAGAGUCAAAGGAAGACUUGAAGAUACUACACUGAGGACUUUAAAGAUGAAGGAAGGGGCGAAAACCAAGAAUGUGGGAAGCCUCUAGAAGCUAGAGAAGGCAAGGAAACAGAUUUUCCACUAGAGCCUCCAGAAGGAACACAGCCCUGCUGACCCACUGUAAUGUCUGACCUCUAGAUGUGUAAGGGUAGUAAGACUGAAAGUCUCAGAAAGGCACUGUUACAUUCUUAUUCCACAACCAUGCAACUCAAAACUGGGGUCCUCAGCAAUGAGCGAGGGGCGAGAGAAGGCACUGUAUAAACAUGGCACAUCCUCCUGGAAAGUCAACUUUACUCAAAGGUUCUUACACACAGUGACAGCUAGCAGAGUCUAAAGUGCUGACAUUAUGACUUAGAGAUGUGAUAAAGAGAAACAUCUAUUGCAUUUUCUACAACAGCAGCAACUACAAAAAGAGACAAUAUCUAUUCAGCACCUACUGUGUUCCAGGCACACUAUAUGAAUUAUUUUGUUUAAUUUGCAAGCAAUUUUGUGAGUGGCUCGUGUGGAAUGACUUAUCCUGGAAUUUAGAGUUGAAGAUAAUCCUGAUGCUUCAAAGAGAAGAGUUGGAACACAGUCCUUUUUCUAAACAGAGGAAUUGUUGAAUAUGCAACUGGUCCUCUGACUUAACUAAUUAUUUAAUUUGGAAGUUAUAGGCUUUUUAUCACUUGAGGAGCAGCUUUCUCUGAACAAAUACAGUGUCCCCUGGGGUGUCCAAAAUUGUGACAGAAAAGUAGCGCCAGCUUGAAAUUAGCUAGUCAUCACACAGUGGCGUCAUGUGAAUGAAGACUCCCCCAAAUCUAUGACUCUCUUCUAUCCUUAUGAACUAAUUCAAUAAAUAAAUGAGCACUUUCUCAGUUCCCAAACUGAGAGCAGUUUUAAAAAAUAAUGAGAGCCCAGAUAUCUAUUUAGAGAGAUGGCGAGACAGAGGAGAGAGCAAGUUGCACACCACGAAACAAAGGGAAAGAUAAGAAGAGAGAGUGUGUCACUACUUCCCCGUGGCAGAAUCACAAUCUUCUUUUGGAUGUCAUGUUGAAAAGAUUCCCAAUUCGUAGUUCUGUGAGCUAAAGCAGAUGGAUGCUCCAUGUUGGUACAAAUUCCUAUUUGAAGCAGUGUGGUUGCAAAGAUGGGGUUUGGGUCAUUUGAUUUUCUCUGAAAAACAAUCUUGUGUAACUGUUAAAAGAAUUUAUAAUACCCAAUGCAAUGUAUCAUCCAUGAUGCUUCUUCAAAAAUGUUAAAUAAAUGCUGAAACCAGUGUU
RNAcentral lists this long non-coding RNA (1401 nucleotides) under Pongo abelii (Sumatran orangutan). Its description in RNAcentral is "lincRNA". Lineage: Eukaryota; Metazoa; Chordata; Mammalia; Primates; Hominidae. The record is from RNAcentral.